Long non-coding RNA from Tetranychus urticae (two-spotted spider mite), 1135 nucleotides. RefSeq lists it as uncharacterized. The record is from RefSeq and is a predicted model, not a curated record. NCBI's taxonomy places the organism in Eukaryota, Metazoa, Arthropoda, Arachnida, Trombidiformes, Tetranychidae.
UUUGUUAGAGAUAUCACAUGACAAUUUAAGCUUUUUAUUCAACGAUUUGUUUCUAUUAUUGUAAUUUAGUCUGGUUAAUUUAUUAAUGUAAUUGUGUUUUAAUUCUGUCUCUGUAUUUCAAGUGUUGGAUCUAUUAACAUUCACUCUAUCUAAAAGGGUUGGUAAUCUAAUUUCGGUCGAUAGCUUUGCUUUUGUAAUUCAAAACAUUUAAGUGUUUUCAUUUUAGUUCAACUGGACCACGGUUUGGACCAUGAGCAGAUUCAAAAUUCAGGACUUAUGCUCUCACUCGACUAUUGAUUUUAAUAUUUGCUGGCGAAUGAUCCAGUUAAACUAAAAAUUAAACGACGAAUCACCUCUGCAUUGGUUCUAUAUUUUACACUUGUACAAGUACAGUCACGAUUGGUAAUUAGGAUGACAAAGGAACUCAAUGACUUGGGCAUUUAUCUUCACAUUUGAUGUCAAAAUUUCCAGAUGCCUUUGCCUACAAUUUUGUGUAUUUGUAUUGCAUAGGAUGGACCUGAUUGCAUCAAAUCUACGAUUUUAUCUAGUCAAAUGGAUAAUCUGUUAAAGCUCAAGAUGUUUGUCAAGCAGAUCAAUCUGAUGGUGCAUUUAUCCAGCAGUCAAUUUCAACUGUUUUACUGGUCGUUAUGGUUAAUGGCUUUCUUCUGUAUUGGCUUUUUAAUUGUCUCCAUUGGUCUUGUGCAUUGACAACAUGGUUAAUCAAAAUUAGUCAAUGAUUGACUCAAUAAUGUUGCCAUUUGUUUUCUUCCGAUCAUUUACAACAUUUCAAGUUGUGCAUAUCAACAAACCAGAUAGACUUACUGUUUUGCAGUAAUUUUAAUUAAACAUUUUUUACUUGGUGCGUGAUCGACAAUCAAAUGUUGUUAAGUCAAUAAUAACGAUGACCAGUUGUUGUUGCUGCUGUUUGCUGCUGUUGCUGUCGAACUUAAAAAGUUACAAUUAAUGAGCCUUUACAAUGGUUUCGACUUUUCCUGUUAUCAUCAUCACAAUCAAACCGCACUAAAAAAAUCAUUAACCUAACCAACCAUACCUUUUUUUUGCAACCUCAAAACAUAUUAUUUAAAAGUUAACAGUUAAUCACAAUAAUAAUAAAUAUGGUAAAACAAAACAAAAA